UACAGAGGUCUCAAGCGUUGUUCGGAUUCAUUGGGCGUAAAGGGUGCGUAGGUGGCGGGGCAAGUCUGGUGUGAAAUCCCGGGGCUCAACCCUGGAACUGCACUGGAUACUGCUUUGCUAGAGUACUGGAGAGGGAACUGGAAUUUACGGUGUAGCAGUGAAAUGCGUAGAUAUCGUAAGGAAGACCAGUGGCGAAGGCGAGUUCCUGGACAGUUACUGACACUGAGGCACGAAGGCCAGGGGAGCAAACAGG
This 253-nucleotide ribosomal RNA is filed under the name uncultured bacterium. RNAcentral describes it as "partial 16S ribosomal RNA". It matches the Rfam family "Bacterial small subunit ribosomal RNA", at positions 524 to 776 of the family's 1533-position model. The record is from RNAcentral.